RNAcentral lists this long non-coding RNA (240 nucleotides) under Hordeum vulgare. RNAcentral describes it as "long non-coding RNA (HVUL_LNC019524)". Lineage: Eukaryota; Viridiplantae; Streptophyta; Magnoliopsida; Poales; Poaceae. The record is from RNAcentral.
UGGGUUCCCCGUCGCGCUCUCCGGGAUGGUGGCCCCGGGCGACAGCAUCCGCCGCAGCAUCUCCUCCCAGGUCGCCGUCUCCGCCUUGCUGGCCAUCUCCCCCUCCCCUUCCUCCGGCGCAAAGGCGCAAUCCGCCGAACACCCGCCGGGCAAGGGCGCAAUCCAGCAAGACUCGGAAAAGCUCUAACCUUUGGUGGGGAAUUCCUCGGCUUUGCAGUCAUGGUCGCCGCCGUCGCCGCC